Molecule: ribosomal RNA, 959 nt
Filed under: Priestia flexa
Lineage: Bacteria; Bacillati; Bacillota; Bacilli; Caryophanales; Bacillaceae
Description: bacterial SSU rRNA
Rfam family: Bacterial small subunit ribosomal RNA
Source: RNAcentral
CCUGCCUGUAAGACUGGGAUAACUCCGGGAAACCGGAGCUAAUACCGGAUAACAUUUUUUCUUGCAUAAGAGAAAAUUGAAAGAUGGUUUCGGCUAUCACUUACAGAUGGGCCCGCGGUGCAUUAGCUAGUUGGUGAGGUAACGGCUCACCAAGGCGACGAUGCAUAGCCGACCUGAGAGGGUGAUCGGCCACACUGGGACUGAGACACGGCCCAGACUCCUACGGGAGGCAGCAGUAGGGAAUCUUCCGCAAUGGACGAAAGUCUGACGGAGCAACGCCGCGUGAGUGAUGAAGGCUUUCGGGUCGUAAAACUCUGUUGUUAGGGAAGAACAAGUACAAGAGUAACUGCUUGUACCUUGACGGUACCUAACCAGAAAGCCACGGCUAACUACGUGCCAGCAGCCGCGGUAAUACGUAGGUGGCAAGCGUUAUCCGGAAUUAUUGGGCGUAAAGCGCGCGCAGGCGGUUUCUUAAGUCUGAUGUGAAAGCCCACGGCUCAACCGUGGAGGGUCAUUGGAAACUGGGGAACUUGAGUGCAGAAGAGAAAAGCGGAAUUCCACGUGUAGCGGUGAAAUGCGUAGAGAUGUGGAGGAACACCAGUGGCGAAGGCGGCUUUUUGGUCUGUAACUGACGCUGAGGCGCGAAAGCGUGGGGAGCAUACAGGAUUAGAUACCCUGGUAGUCCACGCCGUACACGAUGAGUGCUAAGUGUUAGAGGGUUUCCGCCCUUUAGUGCUGCAGCUAACGCAUUAAGCACUCCGCCUGGGGAGUACGGUCGCAAGACUGAAACUCACAGGAAUUGACGGGGGCCCGCACAAGCGGUGGAGCAUGUGGUUUAAUUCGGAGCAACGCGAAGAACCUUACCAGGUCGUGACAUCCUCUGACAACUCUAGAGAUAGAGCGUUCCCCUUCGGGAGACAGACUGACUGGUGGUGCAUGGUUGUCGUCAGCUCGUGUCG